Molecule: long non-coding RNA, 1877 nt
Organism: Salvia miltiorrhiza (redroot sage)
Lineage: Eukaryota; Viridiplantae; Streptophyta; Magnoliopsida; Lamiales; Lamiaceae
Exons: 2
Source: RefSeq, a predicted model, not a curated record
AUGCUUUAACUGCAGAGUAUGUUUCAAUUUUCUGACAUAAGCAUGGUAAAUAAAUAAAAAGUUUUAACUGGCUCAGCCGAUACCUAGGUCUUUAUGCUUUGCAUGCGUGAUUGGAGGUUUCUCAUUUUCUCAAACCAGAAUUGCAAUUUCUGGAAAUGUCAAUUGACCUCUUGGAUCAAAAGUGAAAGACUCUGAACCUGUCCCAGUGCCUGCAUAGACAAAUUUACUGAUACGGAUAAAGAUUAACUUGCCAAGUAAUCUGUCGCCACUCAAGAAAAUUCUCAGUGACCAUCUUGGUGCUUUUCCUCACUCAUUGGCAUUUCCAUCCCCUGCAAAUGAAGUGUCGCACUCUUCUAGAACAUGGAUACAAAUAGACACCAUGCAGCAUUUGCAAGACUUAACAUCUUAUCAUAACAGCAAUUUCCUCAGCAGAGUUUUGUAUAUUAGUUCUCAAUGGACUCAUUUGUAUCCAAUUGGCUAUCCUUCGGAAUUAUUUGAGUCACUAUCUUGAUCCAGGGCGAUGAUAUUUCAGAUCCUUGCUUGAGAGUUUCAGCAGAAGAGUUUUGUAUAUUAGUUCUCAAUGGACUCAUUUGUAUCCAAUUGGCUAUCCUUCGGAAUUAUUUGAGUCACUAUCUUGAUCCAGGGCGAUGAUAUUUCAGAUCCUUGCUUGAGAGUUUCAGCAGAAGAACCUCAUAAAAAAAGUAGUCCUUGCUGUCUGGGACUUCCUGUUCGAUUCAUCUAGCACCUUUUGAUUUAAAGAUUCAGAGAGAUGUACUGAUCCUUCUGACAAGAAUUUGGAUAAAGAAGCUGAAGGAACAGGUAGAGAGCUUCAGGAGAUUGAAAGACGUGCACACUGACAACUCUCACAAACCUUGGCUGCAAACCUUCCUCUUUGCUUCAGAAUGUCUUAUCUGCUGAUAAUAUUGGAAAUGUCUUGGUUUUAUCAUUCCCUCAACUGCCUCUGAACUCUAAGUUCUAAACGAACAGAAGGUAGCAAUAUAUGACUUCUCCGCAUCACUCUUUGCACCCAAGAUCCAUUGACAAGAGUGCACAUGAAUUUAGUCUAGCAGUCCUGGUGCAGAAAAUGAAAAGAAGUUCAAUGUGGUUGAGGAAACUCUCCAUAUCUCCAACCAGGAUCAUGUUGUGCGUGGCAGGAUGCUGCCCAUUAGUUCAUGAGUUGGACGAUGAUCUUAAAGAUUCUGAACUUAGUCCAAGACUGGCUAAUUUCAUCAAAAGUGGAGUUGGUUCCAGAAUCCCCUAUAGAUUAUAUACUAGUUUGUGCAAGCUCUUUUCGUUCAACAUUCUUGGUAUUGAAAAUGCAGGGAUGUGGAAUGGCAACAGAGCCGAUAUCACUGGCCCUGCUCUUGUUUUUUCCCCAAUAUUGGAAACUGAACGCGUAAACUCUUUUGAACGUGACAAGAAGGAAGAUAAAAUGGUAGCUUGGGGGAGAUUGGAAAUCCGGUGUCUGAAAUGAUGAUGGCAUUCAUACAGAUUGUAACACGGGUGCAGUGGGCCGUGCUCAUCACAGGCAAAUAAGUGAAAAUCUCCUUUCUCUAAACUCUCGAACACUGGCAGCAGUGUAAGAUUUGACUCUUGGAUUCUGAUAUCAAGCUCGAAACAGUUAAGCAGCAGUGCAAGUUCUGCAGGCUGCACAUGAAUGGAGACCUCAACAAACAGAAUCCGAGUUAAAAAUUCAAAACUUCCAUGAGGGCUGACUAUCACAAAUCAGCUGAACUUCUCUAAGGUCAUCUAAUUUCUUAGUUUAUCUGUGAAAAUGUAAAAUUAUCUUAUAACAUGCAGCUGUAUUGUCUUAUCUUAUAACAUGCAGCUGUCUUGUCUUACCCUAUAGUUUGAGCAAACAUAAUCUUUCUGGUGUU